AACGAACGCUGGCGGCAGGCCUAACACAUGCAAGUCGAGCGCGCCCUUCGGGGUGAGCGGCGGACGGGUGAGUAACGCGUGGGAACGUGCCCUUUUCUACGGAAUAGCCUCGGGAAACUGAGAGUAAUACCGUAUACGCCCUUUGGGGGAAAGAUUUAUCGGAAAAGGAUCGGCCCGCGUUGGAUUAGGUAGUUGGUGGGGUAAUGGCCUACCAAGCCGACGAUCCAUAGCUGGUUUGAGAGGAUGAUCAGCCACACUGGGACUGAGACACGGCCCAGACUCCUACGGGAGGCAGCAGUGGGGAAUCUUAGACAAUGGGGGCAACCCUGAUCUAGCCAUGCCUCGUGAGUGAUGAAGGCCUUAGGGUUGUAAAGCUCUUUCAGCUGGGAAGAUAAUGACGGUACCAGCAGAAGAAGCCCCGGCUAACUCCGU
Molecule: ribosomal RNA, 432 nt
Filed under: uncultured bacterium
Lineage: Bacteria
Description: partial 16S ribosomal RNA
Rfam family: Bacterial small subunit ribosomal RNA
Source: RNAcentral